AAAUUUUAAUGUCACUAUCUAAGUAAUGUUCUCAAUAUUAUAUGAAUUUGAGAGAUCAUUUUUCUGAUAGGACUUCAUAAAAAGAAAGUAAAUGAAAAUCACACUUAUAAUAUUUUAGAAGAAUAGAAGACAAUAACACAAAUGGGAUUCUCAAAGAUAUUUAAUGGAAUAAUUGAUCACAUAUCAUGAGGGAAGAUAAAGAAGUAACCCUCAUAAAGAAACAUGAAUAAAUGUAUGCUUGAAAAAUAUGUCCAUUGGAUCUCAAGAAGAAUUCAUGAUUCAAUUACUAAAAUAAAGUUAAUAUAAAAAUUAAUUAGAAUUUAAAAGAUAUAGAAUUGUAAAAUAUAGAACUUUCCUGAGUUUUGAAGACCAGAACCAAUUUCAAAUUUAGCAUGUCAAGGACUUUUUGCAUGUAUUAAAGCUUAAACAAACUAUCAUAAUCAAAUAAUAACAGUAAAUUUUAUUAUAAGUAAAUAUUGCUUUUUAUAUAUACUUUUAGAGAAAUAGAUUACUUGAUGAAGUCUGAAUAAGUUAUUGGAAUUCAGUUAUAUGGCAGCUCAAUAGAAGGCCUUUCCCAAAUGAGAUAAUCACAAUCUUAAGAUUUUGAGAUUCUAUAUUCAUCUUUACUGAUUUCCACCAUCAUAUCUCUUCCUCUAUCAUUUCCAAUUAAUGGAUGUCCCACAAUCAGAAAUUUUAUUUCUAUUACUAAAAAAUAUUUAUUUUAUCUGUAAUGAAAUAAAAGAUAUAUAUAUUUCCAUGUUUGCAGGCAAAUUCUACAAAGAUAAAAGUAUCAAUAGGAACCCAUCAGUAAGUAUCAUAACAGAACUUUGCUUAAAUUUAUGACUAUAUUUAAAACACUACAGAUAUGUUGAUGAUACAUGUAUAGCAUGGGAGUAAGAAAAUGGAGCAGUUGGUUUACUGGAUUGCAGUUAGAGAUGUCUGAAGAGUUCAUAGGCCAGCAUUUAAACAUUGAGCUAGCUAACUCAGAUGCAGUUCAUUUUCUAUGUAUAUUUAAGAAUAAUAGAAAGAGAAUAUGUUACAAAAAUUUAUUGCAAACCACCUUAUGUACUAAUCGUCAUUUUGGUUUUGUCUAAUGAUUCCAUCUAUAUAAAUCUGCAUUCGUAACAUAUUUGAUGAUUUUUAGUCAUUUCAGCACAAAAAGAAUAGCAAAAGGAAUAUAUUUGAAAUAUAGAACCACAUAAUGAUAAAGUAAAAAGAUUUUUCAAAAGGUCAGUUAUGAAAUGCUUCAAAAAUUUGAAAAUUAACACUUGAAUCAAAAGAAAUACACUGAUUUUCAUAAAUUAAGGUCAACUGGAUGGCCAUGUGUUAAAGCAAUAGCUUAUCAACCUGAAUGAUUUGGAUUCAAUUCCAGUUCCCACUCCUCCAGCUUUUCAGGAGAGAUCCAUUCCCAGACCAUUGAAUCCCCAUUCUUCAGCCUUUCGGUUGACCCAAUUAUGGGUGUUGAUCAGUUCUCAUAUGCUCUAAAAUGACUAUGACUGCUACCAGGUAUAGAAUAUCCCAAGUGUAAUAUGACAAUUUAACUAACAUAACCUAAUCAUAAAUUAAGGUAAAACAGAAAAAUCAUAAUAUCUGAACAAAUAAUAUUUAUUUUUUCUAAAAUUAUUGAAAAUAUUUAUUAUUUAGCUUAUUAAAGGAUUAAAAAAUAGGGAAUAUAAAACAUUUAUAUUUUACAAAAAUUAGAAUAUUGCAGAAUAAGACCAAAAAUGGUAAGUGAAAAUGAAAUAGUCAAAAUAGCUCAAUAUGGAGUAUGAUCACCUCUCACAGCAUUGUAGAACCUGCAAUGAUGUUUCAUAUUGUUUAUGAUACUACUUAUCAAUUUAGUUGAUAGGAGUAACUAUUAUUCUUGCAUAGCAUUUUUUAACUCACCAAAGUCUUUGAGGAGGGUUGAGAGCAGCUAUACAUUCCCUAGAGCAGCAGUUGGCACCUUUUUAGAUAUUGCGGACCACUAAAUUUGCAAUUUAAAAUUUUGUGGACCAUUAAAAAA
This 2005-nucleotide long non-coding RNA is filed under the name Androctonus crassicauda. The record is from RNAcentral. Lineage: Eukaryota; Metazoa; Arthropoda; Arachnida; Scorpiones; Buthidae.